GCUGAUCCAGCUAUGGAGAAAGCCGCAGGUAGGAGGCCAGGAGAAAUCCUCUGCAGGGGACUUUGGGACAGGCAAGGGGCCGACUUGGAGGCUGAAGCUUUGGGACCAGGGCACACUUGAUUUUGGGGCUUGGAGCCCUGAGGCAGUUUAUGCCAAUGGAAGAGGCACAUCUGGGGAGAAGAAUGUGACUCUCCUCCUCUCACCCACUUCUUUGCCCAGUAGAUCUGCAGGACACAGCCUCGUUAACUCUGAAGUUUAAGUUUAACCCAAAGCUGGGCAUUGAUAAUCCUGUCCUCUCCCUGGCCGAAGACCACAACCCCUAUGGUAACUCCCUCACCCCCUGGCAACCAUUCCCUUUCCCUGGAGGCACCACAGCUCCACACGGCCUCCGAUCUCCUUGGUAACCACUUGCUCGGUCUCCCUCUGAUAACAGCCUUGGUUGGGGGUAGAGAUAGGAGGGGCCAGGCGUUUUCUCCUGUUCCAGUCCCUCUGUCCACGAACCCCACCACCCAACACCCAACCAGGCAGAAACUGCCCAGCGCCCUAUCAGGACACAGGGUCUGCCAGGCACAU
This 573-nucleotide small RNA is filed under the name Pongo abelii (Sumatran orangutan). Its description in RNAcentral is "retained intron". The record is from RNAcentral. Lineage: Eukaryota; Metazoa; Chordata; Mammalia; Primates; Hominidae.